Molecule: ribosomal RNA, 215 nt
Filed under: Synchroma pusillum
Lineage: Eukaryota; Synchromophyceae; Synchromales; Synchromaceae
Description: partial Eukaryotic large subunit ribosomal RNA
Rfam family: Eukaryotic large subunit ribosomal RNA
Source: RNAcentral
GACAUGGGUUAGUCGAUCCUAAGAGAUAGGGAAGCUCCGUUUCAAAGUGCCUGCUUGUUCAGGCCGCCUAUCGAAAGGGAAUCCGGUUAAGAUUCCGGAACCAGGAUGUGGAUUUUUAACGGCAACGUAAAUGAACUUGGAGACGCUGGCGAGAGCCCCGGGAAGAGUUAUCUUUUCUCCUUAACAGUCUACCACCCUGAAAUCGGUUUGUCCGG